Molecule: ribosomal RNA, 799 nt
Filed under: uncultured Glomus
Lineage: Eukaryota; Fungi; Glomeromycota; Glomeromycetes; Glomerales; Glomeraceae
Description: SSU rRNA
Rfam family: Eukaryotic small subunit ribosomal RNA
Source: RNAcentral
AUCAACUUUCGAUGGUAGGAUAGAGGCCUACCAUGGUGGUAACGGGUAACGGGGUGUUAGGGCACGACACCGGAGAGGGAGCNUGAGAAACGGCUACCACAUCCAAGGAUGGCAGCAGGCGCGCAAAUUACCCAAUCCCGACACGGGGAGGUAGUGACAAUAGAUAACAAUACGGGGUCCUUUAGGGUUUCGUAAUUGGAAUGAGUACAAUUUAAAUCUCUUAACGAGGAACAAUUGGAGGGCAAGUCUGGUGCCAGCAGCCGCGGUAAUUCCAGCUCCAAUAGCGUAUAUUAAAGUUGUUGCAGUUAAAAAGCUCGUAGUUGAAUUUCGGGAUCAGUACGCCGGUCGUGCCUUCGGUAUGCACUGGUGUCACUGGUUUCUCCCUUCUGAAGAACCAUCAUGCCUUUCAGUUGGUGUGGCGGGGAAUCAGGACUGUUACUUUGAAAAAAUUAGAGUGUUUAAAGCAGGCUCGCGCUUGAAUACAUUAGCAUGGAAUAAUGAAAUAGGACGUUUGACCCUAUUUUGUUGGUUUCUAGGAUCGACGUAAUGAUUAAUAGGGAUAGUUGGGGGCAUUAGUAUUCAAUUGUCAGAGGUGAAAUUCUUGGAUUUAUUGAAGACUAACUACUGCGAAAGCAUUUGCCAAGGAUGUUUUCAUUAAUCAAGAACGAAAGUUAGGGGAUCGAAGACGAUCAGAUACCGUCGUAGUCUUAACCAUAAACUAUGCCGACUAGGGAUCGGAUGAUGUUAAUUUUUUAAUGACUCAUUCGGCGCCUUACGGGAAACCAAAGUGUUUGGGUUC